This 235-nucleotide ribosomal RNA is filed under the name uncultured bacterium. RNAcentral's name for it is "partial 16S ribosomal RNA". It matches the Rfam family "Bacterial small subunit ribosomal RNA", at positions 127 to 355 of the family's 1533-position model. The record is from RNAcentral.
UGCCCAAGAGACUGGGAUAACACCUGGAAACAGAUGCUAAUACCGGAUAACAACACUAGACGCAUGUCUAGAGUUUAAAAGAUGGUUCUGCUAUCACUCUUGGAUGGACCUGCGGUGCAUUAGCUAGUUGGUAAGGCAACGGCUUACCAAGGCAAUGAUGCAUAGCCGAGUUGAGAGACUGAUCGGCCACAUUGGGACUGAGACACGGUCCAAACUCCUACGGGAGGCAGCAGCU